AGUGAACGCUGGCGGUAGGCCUAACACAUGCAAGUCGAACGGCAGCACAGUAAGAGCUUGCUCUUACGGGUGGCGAGUGGCGGACGGGUGAGGAAUACAUCGGAAUCUACUUUUUCGUGGGGGAUAACGUAGGGAAGCUUACGCUAAUACCGCAUACGACCUACGGGUGAAAGCAGGGGAUCUUCGGACCUUGCGCGAUUGAAUGAGCCGAUGUCGGAUUAGCUAGUUGGCGGGGUAAAGGCCCACCAAGGCGACGAUCCGUAGCUGGUCUGAGAGGAUGAUCAGCCACACUGGAACUGAGACACGGUCCAGUCUCCUACGGGAGGCAGCAGUGGGGAAUAUUGGACAAUGGGCGCAAGCCUGAUCCAGCCAUACCGCGUGGGUGAAGAAGGCCUUCGGGUUGUAAAGCCCUUUUGUUGGGAAAGAAAAGCAGCAGGUUAAUACCCCGCUGUUCUGACGGUACCCAAAGAAUAAGCACCGGCUAACUUCGUG
This 492-nucleotide ribosomal RNA is filed under the name uncultured bacterium. RNAcentral describes it as "partial 16S ribosomal RNA". It matches the Rfam family "Bacterial small subunit ribosomal RNA", at positions 29 to 507 of the family's 1533-position model. The record is from RNAcentral.